Phascolarctos cinereus (koala) is the source of this 1761-nucleotide non-coding RNA. Lineage: Eukaryota; Metazoa; Chordata; Mammalia; Diprotodontia; Phascolarctidae. The record is from RefSeq and is a predicted model, not a curated record.
UCUGAAUGCAGAUAGAAGCAUACUUUUUUUGUUUCUUCUUUCUCCUGCUUUUUCUCCGAGCUCAGUCCUGACAAGACAGCAGUCACUGCUCUGACCUAAGGUUAAGCAGUUGUGCCCCUGUGCUAAGGAAGCCAAAUUUCACCAGGAGGUUUUUGUUCAGGGCUGGAUCACUGUGACAGGCCAGCUGUAAUGAUGUUGAUAGUAAUGCAGUCCAUUAUCUUCAGUCUCUACAGUGAUGACUGUGAGAGUAUAGUCUGUCCCAGACCCGCUGCCACUGAACCAGGCAGGGACUCCAGAAUGCAGGAUGGCAGCACCAUAGAUAAGGAGCUUGGGAGGCUGUCUUGGUGGCUGAUGGUACCAAGCUAAAUUAUUGCUUGUCAAUAUUCUCUUGUCAAGAUAUUCAGAAAUACCCUGUUUUCCAGGGCUAAGGCCAAGCAAGUAAGCUGUGUCCUGAGCUUGGCAUAACAAUGAUCCUCUGUCCUCACCAUCUGGGUGAUCUCACCCCCUGGCAAAAUCAUAUAAUUAUGACAUUGCUUUGACCAGGUAUUCUGUGAGCUCAGAAAAGCACCACACAGGUAACCACGUACUGGCGAUGAAGUCCUGUUAUGAAUCCAACUUGUCCCAUUGCUGCUGUUACCUCUCCCAGACCUGAGCUCAAAUCCAAGUUCAGGCACUUGCUAGCUGUGGGACCCCUGAGCAAGUCACUUCACCCUAGUUUCCACAUGUAUAAAAUAGGGUCUUUAACAGCACCUGCUUCCCAAGGUUGGUGUGAGGACUAGACGAGAUAGUCCUUGUAAAUUACUUAGCCCUGCCUGGAACACAAUGAGCUCCACGUAAACGUUAGCUCUGAGUUUUAUUGAGCCCAUCUAGCAGACCACUGGCAUUCCCCAGGCCCAGCCAAACGCUCUCCACGUCUCCUGGCUUCCCUCGGGUCAGUCUCCUUGGCAGAGGAAACAGACACAAAGAGAUCACGGCCUUGUCCUGGCCGGCGCCCCCUUCACCUCUCCUGCUGCCCUGGGCUCACUCGUGUCCUGCUCCUCUUGGAAGCCCCAUGGGGCUGAGCGAGCGCUCCGGGGAUCCUGCCCCAGCCCGUGGUCUCCCUCCUCAGAGCCGUGGCUUCCCUGCGUGUUUGCGUCACUUCCUGCGAGAAGAUGGCGGCGCACCAGAAGCACUUCAUUAGACCCGCGGCCUGUUGUGACUGGCUGCUUAAGUAAGGGAGACUGCGGGCUAAACUAGCUUCGGAGGAGCCCAGGACCCCUCGAGGUCUGUGAGCCCACGCCUGGUGACUCCCUGUGGGCUCUGGGGCUGUGAAGACCACACAGGAGCUCUCCCUUCUGUGGCCUCUGCUCUGCCCCAGGAGGACAGCCUGGAGGAAGAGAGAAUGGCUCCUGCCCUGACAGCCAGGCCCAGGAAGGAAUCGGUGACAUUCAAGGAUGUGGCUGUAGAAUUCACCUGGGAGGAGUGGGUACAUUUGAACCCAUCUCAGAAAACACUGUACAGGGAUGUGAUGCUGGAGAAUUAUAGGAACUUGGUGUCUUUGGGAUUUGCAGUUUCCAAGCCAGAUGUCAUCUACCAGUUGGAAAGAAAGGAAGCAUCUUGGAUGCCAGAGGCAGAUAUUCCAAGAAGCAGCUGUCCGGGUGACUUCAGAAAAACCAAGCAGAUGGAUCAUUAUAAAAGCCAGCUCUGUUGGUCAUUUUAGAGAGCAUAGAAUUUACUGGAGAGAAACCUAAUGAAUGUGGUGAAUAUGGGAAGGCCUUCAGG